This 253-nucleotide ribosomal RNA is filed under the name uncultured bacterium. RNAcentral describes it as "partial 16S ribosomal RNA". It matches the Rfam family "Bacterial small subunit ribosomal RNA", at positions 524 to 776 of the family's 1533-position model. The record is from RNAcentral.
UACGUAGGGGGCAAGCGUUGUCCGGAUUUAUUGGGCGUAAAGAGCGUGUAGGCGGCCAGGUAGGUCCGUUGUGAAAACUCGAGGCUCAACCUCGAGACGUCGGCGGAAACCCUCUGGCUAGAGUCCGGAAGAGGAGAGUGGAAUUCCUGGUGUAGCGGUGAAAUGCGCAGAUAUCAGGAAGAACACCCGUGGCGAAGGCGGCUCUCUGGGACGGUACUGACGCUGAGGAGCGAAAGCGUGGGGAGCAAACAGG